UCAGUUUCUCCUGCAUAGCGAAGUGCUCUCCAUCUGCUCCUUGUGGAUUGAUCCAGGAUGGUAUUUGAAGAUGGCAGUGGUUGUAGUGCACGUCAAACUAUGGCAGUCAUGUUUCCCCUUUGCUGUUUGGUGUGGAGUUUUACUUCUUCUUUUCUGCCAGGGAUGUUUGAACAGACAUCAAAACUGGAGGACAACAUGGCCAUUGAAGCAGCAUGGCAGCGCUUGAAUCCUUCCCUGCACUCUGGUACAGAGAAAAUUAAGUGUAGAGCCAUGGGACCUGGAGCUGGUGACUUGCAGCUAGACAUGGGCAACGCUGGGUGCCUGCCUUUGAUUGAGGUGCCCAAGACCUGGCCCUGAUCCAACAAAGCCAACAACUGCAUCUUCCCCUUCCAACUGCUCAAAUGACAAAGCCCAGCAAAUAACCAGGGCCUGUGAGUCCAUUUGUGCCUUACUACCAGGAACCAUUUAUUCCAUGUAUUUUGUACAAAUCCAGUAAGGCAGGUAAACAUCCAGGCCAGAAAUUAAUGCCCCAAACUGGCUACAAAUCUGGACUCCAGACUCGGUCGCACCUACAUCCAGGCUUCAACUACUGGUAAAAAUCUGUGCCAUAAUAACUCCAAAGGUUCUGUCCUACUACUGGGCAACAAUAAAAUGGUUUAACCUUAA
Labrus bergylta (ballan wrasse) is the source of this 666-nucleotide long non-coding RNA. RefSeq lists it as uncharacterized. The record is from RefSeq and is a predicted model, not a curated record. NCBI's taxonomy places the organism in Eukaryota, Metazoa, Chordata, Actinopteri, Labriformes, Labridae.